CAAAGUGUUCUGUACAACUGGGGCGAGUGCUAGGGAGUCUCUCUAGACUAGACCUGCCGUAUGGCGGCGCUAUGUCUGCAAUCACUGAUAGUGGCGACAGACAGGUCCGACAUAUACCAACGGACCACGGCUGAUUUAAAGGCUACCACCUAGCAAGUGUGGUGUCUGGCGGUGACACCACAUCAACAUCGCUUUAAAUUGAUUUGGACUUUGAAGCAGUAAAAUCAGGUGAUAUUAAGUUCACUGGAUUCCUGAAACUCUGUGUCUGAUAACAUGGCAUCAAACUCUUCAAACCCUUCUGCAGAGAGCAUUGACUUAUUGGUGGAAAGGGUAGGAGGCAACACAGCACUCGGCCAUCGCAUUUGGGCGACAAUCCUGCUUCAUGAGUCUCUCAAAAUUUAUAUACAAAAAUUAUUUGUUCAUAUUGUGAUAAUGUAUGUUUUUUUAUCAAUAUAAGUUGUAUUUUCUGUAAUCUGUAUGCAAAAUUCAAAAUAUGUAUACAAUGUGACCACAAUUAUCUGCAGCCUUUUAAAUGUGUCUGAAGCUCAAAAAGUUUGAGAAUCACUGUCUUAUAUUAUUGGUAACAGUGCUGCCAAUUACAAAACAAUACUGCAAUAUGUCUACUUUUAAUUACGCUUCUGAGGUUUUCAUUUGACUCCUUCUCAUACUUACAGAUGCAUGUAAGAAUAAAAACAAAAAAUUGUAAUUACAUUUCAAUUAAUAACAUGAAAAAGAACAAAGUCAAAGAAUACAAAAUUAUGAUGAGCAAGGUAUAUGUCUGUAACUAUGA
This is a long non-coding RNA of Schistocerca gregaria, 790 nucleotides long. RefSeq lists it as uncharacterized. Lineage: Eukaryota; Metazoa; Arthropoda; Insecta; Orthoptera; Acrididae. The transcript has 3 exons. The record is from RefSeq and is a predicted model, not a curated record.